This 463-nucleotide ribosomal RNA is filed under the name uncultured bacterium. RNAcentral describes it as "partial 16S ribosomal RNA". It matches the Rfam family "Bacterial small subunit ribosomal RNA", at positions 28 to 507 of the family's 1533-position model. The record is from RNAcentral.
GAUGAACGCUGACAGAAUGCUUAACACAUGCGAGUCGAUGGGGAAGUGGUGCUUGCCCCAUGGCAACCAUGGCGGACGGGUGAGUAACGCGUAAGGGACUUACCUGCAGGACUGGGAUAACAGGGGGAAACUCCUGACAAGACCGGAUAAUGUCAUGGAGCUGCAUGGCUUUAUGAUGAAAGGAGACGCCUGCGGAGAGCCUUGCGUCCUAUUAGCUAGUUGGUGAGGUAAUGGCUCACCAAGGCGAAGAUAGGUAGCCGGCAUGAGAGGGUGGACGGCCACAAGGGGACUGAGAGACGGCCCUGACUCCUACGGGAGGCAGCAGUGGGGAAUAUUGGACAAUGGGGGCAACCCUGAUCCAGCAAUUCUGUGUGCACGAAGAAGGUUUUCGGAUUGUAAAGUGCUUUCAGCAGGGAAGAAGUAAGUGACGGUACCUGCAGAAGAAGCGACGGCUAAAUACGUG